UACGUAGGGGGCAAGCGUUGUCCGGAAUUAUUGGGCGUAAAGGGCGCGUAGGCGGCUGUACAAGUCAAAGGUGAAAUCCCUCGGCUCAACUGAGGAACUGCCUUUGAAACUGUACGGCUUGAGGCCGGGAGGGGGUAGCGGAAUUCCCAGUGUAGCGGUGAAAUGCGUAGAUACUGGGAGGAACACCAGUGGCGAAGGCGGCUACCUGGACCGGUUCUGACGCUGAGGCGCGAAAGCGUGGGUAGCAAACAGG
Molecule: ribosomal RNA, 253 nt
Filed under: uncultured bacterium
Lineage: Bacteria
Description: partial 16S ribosomal RNA
Rfam family: Bacterial small subunit ribosomal RNA
Source: RNAcentral